RNAcentral lists this ribosomal RNA (731 nucleotides) under Agaricales sp. MCA1825. Its description in RNAcentral is "eukaryotic LSU rRNA". The stretch from base 192 to 345 matches the Rfam family "5.8S ribosomal RNA". Lineage: Eukaryota; Fungi; Basidiomycota; Agaricomycetes; Agaricales. The record is from RNAcentral.
CACAUCCGUGCACUUUUUGUAGACUUUCGGCAAAAGCGGUUUGAGGAGUCGCUGCUUCACACUGCGAUCGGUCGGUCGGUCGGUCAGUCGGUCAGAUCAGCUUUCCUUGCGCUUGUCGCUUGUCGCUUGUCUAUGGCCCUUUAUUAAUGUUGCUAGUCUGUCUACUGUUAUAUUGAAAUAUAAUAUAAUACAACUUUCAACAACGGAUCUCUUGGCUCUCGCAUCGAUGAAGAACGCAGCGAAAUGCGAUAAGUAAUGUGAAUUGCAGAAUUCAGUGAAUCAUCGAACCUUUGAACGCACCUUGCGCUCCUUGGUAUUCCGAGGAGCACAUCUGUUUGAGUGUCACGAAAAAUAUUCUCAACCUUUAAAGGGGUUGGAUAGCUGAGGGUUGCUGGAUUCUUAUGAUCCAUUCUUGAUCACGAUGUGCAUCUGAUUCAGCUCCCUUUUUGAAAUGCAUCUCCUGAGGCUCAGUUUCUUUUUGGGUGUUGUUGAUAAGAUCUCUAUCCACGACCCAGAAGUUGACAAAUUGCAUCUUGGGAUUUAUUAAUGAACUCUGACCAUCUCUUAAAAACGAUGGGAUGGUUUUUUUUGAAUCUUUUGACCUCAAAUCAGGUGGGACUACCCGCUGAACUUAAGCAUAUCAAUAAGCGGAGGAAAAGAAACUAACAAGGAUUCCCCUAGUAACUGCGAGUGAAGCGGGAAUAGCUCAAAUUUAAAAUCUGACGGUUUUU